This 497-nucleotide ribosomal RNA is filed under the name uncultured bacterium. RNAcentral's name for it is "partial 16S ribosomal RNA". It matches the Rfam family "Bacterial small subunit ribosomal RNA", at positions 28 to 507 of the family's 1533-position model. The record is from RNAcentral.
GACGAACGCUGGCGGCGUGCCUAAUACAUGCAAGUAGAACGCUGAAGAGAGGAGCUUGCUCUUCUUGGAUGAGUUGCGAACGGGUGAGUAACGCGUAGGUAACCUGCCUUGUAGCGGGGGAAAACUAUUGGAAACGAUAGCUAAUACCGCAUAACAAUGGGUGACACAUGUCAUUUAUUUGAAAGGGGCAAUUGCUCCACUACAAGAUGGACCUGCGUUGUAUUAGCUAGUAGGUGAGGUAAUGGCUCACCUAGGCGACGAUACAUAGCCGACCUGAGAGGGUGAUCGGCCACACUGGGACUGAGACACGGCCCAGACUCCUACGGGAGGCAGCAGUAGGGAAUCUUCGGCAAUGGGGGCAACCCUGACCGAGCAACGCCGCGUGAGUGAAGAAGGUUGUCGGAUCGUAAAGCUCUGUUGUAAGUCAAGAACGGGUGUGAGAGUGGAAAGUUCACACUGUGACGGUAGCUUACCAGAAAGGGACGGCUAACUACGUG